UACGUAGGUGGCAAGCGUUGUCCGGAUUUACUGGGCGUAAAGAGCGCGUAGGCGGCUUUUUAAGUCUAUGGUGAAAUCUCCCGGCUUAACUGGGAGGAGUCUGUAGAUACUGAAAGGCUUGAGUACCGCAGAGGAAAGUGGAAUUCCCGGUGGAGUGGUGAAAUGCGUAGAUAUCGGGAGGAACACCAGAGGCGUAGGCGGCUUUCUGGGCGGUUACUGACGCUGAGGCGCGAAAGCGUGGGGAGCGAACCGGAUUAGAUACCCGGGUAGU
Molecule: ribosomal RNA, 271 nt
Filed under: uncultured bacterium
Lineage: Bacteria
Description: partial 16S ribosomal RNA
Rfam family: Bacterial small subunit ribosomal RNA
Source: RNAcentral